GAAAGCCCCGCAAGCA
Molecule: transfer RNA, 16 nt
Filed under: Pseudogobius olorum (Swan River goby)
Lineage: Eukaryota; Metazoa; Chordata; Actinopteri; Gobiiformes; Gobiidae
Description: partial tRNA-Phe
Source: RNAcentral